CUUUCUUUAGGAGCUUGGUAACCGCGCCUGUUAUGAUGCAAUAUAGGAAGCCUGUACAGCAGGAAAUAGAUUGCGGUCGAAUACUUUGACGCAACUUAUAUAUUCUAUAUUUAUUUACAUAACUGCUGCGGUUUUGACGCAUUAUUCAUCGCGUCUUUCCGAAAGCUUUGUACCCAUAAAUAAAAUGUACUAAAAAGAGAACACAUUACGUACAAAUUUUUUAUAAAAUAGAUCAAAAUAUACCAUAAAUAUUGAGAUAUAUGCUAGUAUAAAGGUCAUAAGUUCGUGCGUAAUGGUAUUCGAAAUAGACAUAUUAUUAAUUCGCAGUUCAUUUAACUGAUAGAAACGUUCACAUUCAAAUUAUUCAAUUAGGUAUGAAUUUGGUUUAAAAGAUUCCCUGUUUGUAUUAUAUUGUGCACUACUAAUACUGUGUGAGUCACAGAUGAGAUAGUCUCGGUUGAAAACGUGAUGUUUAUACUAGCCGACAAAUAUGCAAACCACAAGUCUAAUAAUGCUUAUAGGCGUAUCAAAAUUCAAAGAUCAAAAUUUGCCUGCGCGCAAUGCAAAAUGUAAACAAGACACGUUUAUCGAUUUUGCAUUAUAAACUGUGGAAGCUGAGGACGAUACAGAAAUUCAGUUGUAGUAACUUCUAAUAUAUAGAUUUUACAUUCGUACUUCAGCAUUCAGUUUACUUCAGGCUAUACAGCCACACACGUUAGUGUUUAUUUCCGGAAAAUUUAAAUAUUUCCCGCUAAAGGUUAAUGAUAAUCAGAAUGGUAUAAUAGACUUUAUAUGAGUACCUGAAUAACCCCAAGUUUACAUUAAGUGUCCCAACAAAUCCAAAUAUGUACCCUGAGUAAAAGUCGCGGUUACCAAGCCUCCACGGAAAGUGAUCCCAAAAAAAAUUUAUGCAGCGCGCACACUUUGAGGAAAUGUCCAUUCGUGACAAAAAAUAUUCAACACGUUGGAUAUUUGUCUUACGCGUCACGAGUGACGAAAAACUUACAAAAGUGCACCGCACACGAGAGCUUUCUCCUUACGCCAACAGUCACGAAUGACAUUUUGCUAAGCACAUAGCUCUAGUGUGCGCCGGGCUUAAAGCCUGCAGCACACGAGAGCUAUCUGCUGAGCCAAAAGUUACUCGUGCCUGUUAGCUCAGCUGAUAGCUCACCGAUCAACAGUGAUGUAAGGGACGGACCAUUAGAAAAGUGAUGGGGAGGGUGGGGAAAAAAACAGAAAAAAAAUCCAUGCAAACAAAAAAGGUUUGAAAAAAAAUACAUGCAAACAGACUUGUUUAAAAAAAAAUUACAAACAGAACAACAAUAGAACUUUAAUUUUAAAUGUACAUCAGACAAAAUUGAACUAAAUCUUUGGAAUAUUUCAGAAUAUAAAUAUAUCAAAAUAUAUAAGAUAUUAAUAUGCAAUUUCUUUCAAUAUUAACAGUAACUCUUAUGUAGUUUUAUUAUAUACUAUCAAAAUAUUUUCUAUUGUAUUUAAUAAUUAAUUCUCAUUCACACUGCCACUGUCCUCAGUGGCGUAACUACUAUGGGCUCGGACUGGGAGAAUCCGGGGGCCACCAACCCCAAUGGGCCCGCAAAUGGGGGGCCCCAGGCUCAGGCUACAGAGCAAAAACAUUGGCCAAGGGCCUCUGAUAUGUUACAAUGGCGUUUUCUGACCAUCAGAAUUCUGUAAAAUCUCUCCCCAAAGUCCGGGAAAUGGUAUUUCAGAGAAUUUAGAUUCAAAAAUUUUCCGGGUGAGCAUGCUCUUGGACCCCUAGAAAACUUGUCCAUAUAUGGUGCUUAAAGAUAUAAUUUUGCAGUGUGUAUUAAAGGGAUAUUUUUUUGUCAAGAGAACAGUUUCGUUAACAUUUGUAUAGUUGUAUUGGAAAAAAAAUUGCAUGCGAGAAGACAUAUUUAAAAAAAACAUGCAUACACAGCUGACAACCUGGAAAAAAAUGCAAACAAAAAAAA
RNAcentral lists this long non-coding RNA (1970 nucleotides) under Paramuricea clavata. Lineage: Eukaryota; Metazoa; Cnidaria; Anthozoa; Malacalcyonacea; Plexauridae. The record is from RNAcentral.